RNAcentral lists this ribosomal RNA (440 nucleotides) under uncultured bacterium. RNAcentral's name for it is "partial 16S ribosomal RNA". It matches the Rfam family "Bacterial small subunit ribosomal RNA", at positions 338 to 795 of the family's 1533-position model. The record is from RNAcentral.
CCUACGGGGGACAGCAGUAAGGGAUAUUGGUCAAUGGGGGAAACCCUGAACCAGCAACGCCGCGUGAGUGAAGACGGUUUUCGGAUUGUAAACCUCUGUUCUCUGUGAAGAUGAUGCCGGUAGCAGAGGAGGAAGCUCCGGCUAACUACGUGCCAGCAGCCGCGGUAAUACGUAGGGAGCGAGCGUUGUCCGGAUUUACUGGGGGUAAGGGGUGCGUAGGCGGCUUGGCAAGUCAGUAGUGAAGUCCAUGGGCUUAACCCAUGAACUGCAUGUGAAACUGUCGAGCUUGAGUGAAGUAGAGGUAGGCGGAAUUCCCGGUGUAGCGGUGAAAUGCGUAGAGAUCGGGAAGAACACCAGUGGCGAAGGCGGCCUACUGGGCUUUAACUGACGCUGAGGUACGAAAGCGUGGGUAGCAAACAGGAUUAGAUACCCUUGUAGUC